RNAcentral lists this ribosomal RNA (253 nucleotides) under uncultured bacterium. RNAcentral's name for it is "partial 16S ribosomal RNA". It matches the Rfam family "Bacterial small subunit ribosomal RNA", at positions 524 to 776 of the family's 1533-position model. The record is from RNAcentral.
UACGUAGGGAGCAAGCGUUGUCCGGAAUCAUUGGGCGUAAAGCGCGCGUAGGCGGCCCGAUAAGUCCGCUGUAAAAGUCAACGGCUCAACUGUUGAAAGCCGGUGGAUACUGUCGGGCUAGAGUACGGAAGAGGCAAGUGGAAUUCCUGGUGUAGCGGUGAAAUGCGCAGAUAUCAGGAAGAACACCCGUGGCGAAAGCGGCUCUCUGGAACGGUACUGACGCUGAGACGCGAAAGCGUGGGGAGCGAACAGG